RNAcentral lists this long non-coding RNA (896 nucleotides) under Setaria italica (foxtail millet). RNAcentral describes it as "long non-coding RNA (SITA_LNC006081)". Lineage: Eukaryota; Viridiplantae; Streptophyta; Magnoliopsida; Poales; Poaceae. The record is from RNAcentral.
AAGUACAGCAAUGGGGUUUGGGCGGAAGGUUGGAGAGGGUGGGGUUAGCAGGUGGCUCCUCCUGCUCGCCGGGGUGCUGCUGGCGGUGGCUGUCACGGUGACGGCCGGUGACGCUGCGGAGGAGGGAGCCACCGCUGGCGACUACAGCCUCCACGGUAGCCAAGCUAUGUGCGAGCUCAAGUGCCAGCAUCAUCAUGAUCCAGUGAACAAGAAGCGGUGCGUCGACUUCUGCAUACGGUGGCAGCUAGCGCUACCGUUUGACGCUGCGGAGGAGGGAGCCACCGCUGGCGACGACAGCCUCCACGGUAGCCGAGCUAUGUGCGAGCUCAAGUGCCAGCAUCAUCAUGAUCCAGUGAACAAGAAGCGGUGCGUUGACUUCUGCAUACGGUGGCAGCUAGCGCUACCAUUUGAUGCUGCGGAGGAGGGAGCCACCGCGGGCGAGGACAGCCUCCACGGUAGCCGAGCUAUGUGCGAGCUCAAGUGCCAGCAUCAUCAUGAUCCAGUGAACAAGAAGCGGUGCGUCGACUUCUGCAUACGGUGGCAGCUAGCGCUACCGUUUGACGCGGUGGAGGAGGGAGCCACCGCGGGCAAAGACAGCCUCCACGGUAGCCGAGCUAUGUGCGAGCUCAAGUGCCAGCAUCAUCAUGAUCCAGUGAACAAGAAGCGGUGCGUCGACUUCUGCAUACGGUGGCAGCUAGCACUACUGUUUGACGUUAAGGAGGAGGAUGGAGCUAGCGCCACCGACACCAUCACCGCUGGUGAGGUCGGCGUCUGCGCCAACCGGCGUAUAUGCAAGAUCAAGUGCCAGCACCAUCACGACCAGGUGAACAGCAACCGGUGCACCGACUUCUGCAUAGGGUACCAAGUGGCACUAGAUGCCAUUAUGGAGAAUGGAG